RNAcentral lists this ribosomal RNA (253 nucleotides) under uncultured bacterium. RNAcentral's name for it is "partial 16S ribosomal RNA". It matches the Rfam family "Bacterial small subunit ribosomal RNA", at positions 524 to 776 of the family's 1533-position model. The record is from RNAcentral.
UACGGAGGGGGCUAGCGUUGUCCGAAGUUACUGGGCGUAAAGCGCGCGUAGGCGGGUUGGUAAGUCCGCUGUGAAAGCCCGGAGCUCAACUCCGGAGGGUCGGUGGAUACUGCCAGUCUUGAAGGUGCUAGGGGGAGAUGGAAUUACCGGUGUAGCGGUGAAAUGCGUAGAUAUCGGUAGGAACACCAGUGGCGAAGGCGGCAUUCUGGACCGAUAUUGACGCUGAGGAGCGAAAGCCAGGGGAGCAAACGGG